Molecule: transfer RNA, 59 nt
Filed under: Ictidomys tridecemlineatus (thirteen-lined ground squirrel)
Lineage: Eukaryota; Metazoa; Chordata; Mammalia; Rodentia; Sciuridae
Description: Spermophilus tridecemlineatus (thirteen-lined ground squirrel) tRNA
Rfam family: tRNA
About the family: Transfer RNA (tRNA) molecules are approximately 80 nucleotides in length.
Source: Rfam by way of RNAcentral
UAGCUCAGUUAGGUAGAGUGCUUGCCUUGCAUGCACAAAGCUCUGGGUUCAAUUCCCAG